UGGGGAAUAUUGCACAAUGGGCGCAAGCCUGAUGCAGCCAUGCCGCGUGUAUGAAGAAGGCCUUCGGGUUGUAAAGUACUUUCAGCGGGGAGGAAGGCGAUAAGGUUAAUAACCUUGUCGAUUGACGUUACCCGCAGAAGAAGCACCGGCUAACUCCGUGCCAGCAGCCGCGGUAGUACGGAGGGUGCAAGCGUUAAUCGGCAUUAAUGGGCGUAAAGCGCACGCAGGCGGUCUGUCAAGUCGGAUGUGAAAUCCCCGGGCUCAACCUGGGAACUGCAUUCGAAACUGGCAGGCUAGAGUCUUGUAGAGGGGGGUAGAAUUCCAGGUGUAGCGGUGAAAUGCGUAGAGAUCUGGAGGAAUACCGGUGGCGAAGGCGGCCCCCUGGACAAAGACUGACGCUCAGGUGCGAAAGCGUGGGGAGCAAACA
RNAcentral lists this ribosomal RNA (427 nucleotides) under uncultured bacterium. RNAcentral describes it as "partial 16S ribosomal RNA". It matches the Rfam family "Bacterial small subunit ribosomal RNA", at positions 355 to 774 of the family's 1533-position model. The record is from RNAcentral.